Mustela erminea (ermine) is the source of this 514-nucleotide long non-coding RNA. RefSeq lists it as uncharacterized. The transcript has 3 exons. The record is from RefSeq and is a predicted model, not a curated record. NCBI's taxonomy places the organism in Eukaryota, Metazoa, Chordata, Mammalia, Carnivora, Mustelidae.
GGCCGCCGACUGUAAGGAAACGGCUUCUGAGGUCGGCUCUCAGGUCCUGCAAGUCUGGAUUACCGUGAAGAGGUUGCAACCUUCCAUUCUUGGCUGAGCACUUCCGUCCUGCGUCGAAUUCCCGUGAAGAACCCAAUGCCGUAAUGAUGUGUUUAUGAUACAGCACGACAUAGGAAAUGUUGGCACGUUUUUAAAGUUACCCAGGAUAUAAUGAACCUCCUACUGCACGUAAGGGUGAGUUCUGACAAAGGCACAGUCGUUUCGACUUUGCCGUGAAGAUGUAGAAGACUUGUGACAUCCCCAGGCUCCUUUGCGCUGCUCUGUUGGGAACAGCCCUCUCGGUCCCUGCAUGCCCUGACCACAGCUGGCUGCUCUGUGCCCCCAGAUGUCUGCUUCCCGAGAAUGCCCUAGAAGGGGCUGAUGUAUGCUUACGGAACAGAGUGCAUCUGAGAGUCACCCGUCUGUUGCUGCCAAUCGGGAACUCCAUAUUUUUAUUUCUGAGUCAUAUUCCAUU